Molecule: ribosomal RNA, 462 nt
Filed under: uncultured bacterium
Lineage: Bacteria
Description: bacterial SSU rRNA
Rfam family: Bacterial small subunit ribosomal RNA
Source: RNAcentral
GACGAACGCUGGCGGCGUGCUUAACACAUGCAAGUCGAGCGGUAAGGCCUUUCGGGGUACACGAGCGGCGAACGGGUGAGUAACACGUGGGUGAUCUGCCCUGCACUCUGGGAUAAGCCUGGGAAACUGGGUCUAAUACUGGAUAUGACCUCAGCAUGCAUGUGCUGGGGUGGAAAGCUUUUGUGGUGCAGGAUGGGCCCGCGGCCUAUCAGCUUGUUGGUGGGGUAAUGGCCUACCAAGGCGACGACGGGUAGCCGACCUGAGAGGGUGACCGGCCACACUGGGACUGAGACACGGCCCAGACUCCUACGGGAGGCAGCAGUGGGGAAUAUUGCACAAUGGGCGGAAGCCUGAUGCAGCGACGCCGCGUGAGGGAUGAAGGCCUUCGGGUUGUAAACCUCUUUCAGCAGGGACGAAGCGUGAGUGACGGUACCUGCAGAAGAAGCACCGGCUAACUACGUG